CCAACGGCCCUUUUAAGGGCCACCAUACAAUCCCGAGAGCAAAAUU
Molecule: regulatory RNA element, 46 nt
Organism: Orchesella cincta
Lineage: Eukaryota; Metazoa; Arthropoda; Collembola; Entomobryomorpha; Orchesellidae
Rfam family: Histone 3' UTR stem-loop
About the family: The mRNAs of metazoan histone genes lack a poly-A tail. 3' end processing occurs at a site between a highly conserved stem-loop (modelled by this family) and a purine rich region around 20 nts downstream (the histone downstream element, or HDE).
Source: Rfam